RNAcentral lists this ribosomal RNA (492 nucleotides) under uncultured bacterium. RNAcentral describes it as "partial 16S ribosomal RNA". It matches the Rfam family "Bacterial small subunit ribosomal RNA", at positions 29 to 507 of the family's 1533-position model. The record is from RNAcentral.
AGUGAACGCUGGCGGUAGGCCUAACACAUGCAAGUCGAACGGCAGCACAGUAAGAGCUUGCUCUUACGGGUGGCGAGUGGCGGACGGGUGAGGAAUACAUCGGAAUCUACUUUUUCGUGGGGGAUAACGUAGGGAAACUUACGCUAAUACCGCAUACGACCUACGGGUGGAAGCAGGGGAUCUUCGGACCUUGCGCGAUUGAAUGAGCCGAUGUCGGAUUAGCUAGUUGGCGGGGUAAAGGCCCACCAAGGCGACGAUCCGUAGCUGGUCUGAGAGGAUGAUCAGCCACACUGGAACUGAGACACGGUCCAGACUCCUACGGGAGGCAGCAGUGGGGAAUAUUGGACAAUGGGCGCAAGCCUGAUCCAACCAUACCGCGUGGGUGAAGAAGGCCUUCGGGUUGUAAAGCCCUUUUGUUGGGAAAGAAAAGCAGCAGGUUAAUACCCCGCUGUUCUGACGGUACCCAAAGAAUAAGCACCGGCUAACUUCGUG